GGAGGGCAAGUCUGGUGCCAGCAGCCGCGGUAAUUCCAGCUCCAAUAGCGUAUAUUAAAGUUGUUGCAGUUAAAAAGCUCGUAGUUGAAUUUCGGGGUCAGUAGGUCGGUCGUGCCACUGGUAUGAACUGGUUUUACUGAUUCCUCCCUCUUGAAGAACUGUAAUGCCAUUAAUUUGGUGUUGCAGGGAAUCAGGACUGUUACUUUGAAAAAAUUAGAGUGUUUAAAGCAGGCUUUAGCUUGAAUACAUUAGCAUGGAAUAAUGAAAUAGGACGUUUGAUCCUAUUUUGUUGGUUUCUAGGAUUGACGUAAUGAUUAAUAGGGAUAGUUGGGGGCAUUAGUAUUCAAUUGUCAGAGGUGAAAUUCUUGGAUUUAUUGAAGACUAACUACUGCGAAAGCAUUUGCCAAGGAUGUUUUCAUUAAUCAAGAACGAAAGUUAGGGGAUCGAAGACGAUCAGAUACCGUCGUAGUCUUAACCAUAAACUAUGCCGACUAGGGAUCGGAUGAUGUUAAUUUUUUAAUGACUCAUUCGGCGCCUUACGGGAAAC
RNAcentral lists this ribosomal RNA (547 nucleotides) under uncultured Glomeromycotina. Its description in RNAcentral is "SSU rRNA". It matches the Rfam family "Eukaryotic small subunit ribosomal RNA", at positions 550 to 1098 of the family's 1831-position model. The record is from RNAcentral. Lineage: Eukaryota; Fungi; Glomeromycota.